AAGUCGUAACAAGGUUUCCGUAGGUGAACCUGCGGAAGGAUCAUUACAGAGUUCAUGCCCUCACGGGUAGAUCUCCCACCCUUGAAUACUAUACCUUUGUUGCUUUGGCGGGCCGCCUCGGCUACCGGCUUCGGCUGGUGAGUGCCCGCCAGAGGACCCCAAACUCUGAAUUACAGUGUCGUCUGAGUACUAUAUAAUAGUUAAAACUUUCAACAACGGAUCUCUUGGUUCUGGCAUCGAUGAAGAACGCGGCGAAAUGCGAUAAGUAAUGUGAAUUGCAGAAUUCAGUGAAUCAUCGAAUCUUUGAACGCACAUUGCGCCCCCUGGUAUUCCGGGGGGCAUGCCUGUUCGAGCGUCAUUAUAACCCUCAAGCCCAGCUUGGUGUUGGGGCCUGUCGUCAGACAGCCCUUAAAAUCAGUGGCGGUGCCUGCAGGCUCUACGCGUAGUAAUUCUUCUCGCGAUGGAGCCCUGUAGGAUGCUUGCCAUCAACCCCCAAUUUUCUAUGGUUGACCUCGGAUCAGGUAGGGAUACCCGCUGAACUUAAGCAUAUCAAUAAGCGGAGGAAAAGAAACCAACAGGGAUUACCUCAGUAACGGCGAGUGAAGCGGUAACAGCUCAAAUUUGAAAUCUGGCUCUUUUAGGGUCCGAGUUGUAAUUUGUAGAAGAUGCUUCGGGUGUGGCUCCAGUCUAAGUUCCUUGGAACAGGACGUCAUAGAGGGUGAGAAUCCCGUAUGUGAUUGGUGGCCUUCGCCCAUGUGAAGCUCUUUCGACGAGUCGAGUUGUUUGGGAAUGCAGCUCAAAAUGGGUGGUAAAUUUCAUCUAAAGCUAAAUAUUGGCCAGAGACCGAUAGCGCACAAGUAGAGUGGUCGAAAGAUGAAAAGCACUUUGGAAAGAGAGUUAAACAGUACGUGAAAUUGUUGAAAGGGAAGCGCUUGCAACCAGACUUGCGCGUGGGUGAUCAUCCGGGGUUCUCCCCGGUGCACUCGCUCACGCUCAGGCCAGCAUCGGUUUUGGUGGUUGGAUAAAGGCCCUAGGAAUGUAGCUUCUCUCGGGGAGUGUUAUAGCCUAGGGUGCAAUGCAGCCUACCGGGACCGAGGACCGCGCUUCGGCUAGGAUGCUGGCGUAAUGGUUGUAAGCGACC
RNAcentral lists this ribosomal RNA (1141 nucleotides) under uncultured fungus. Its description in RNAcentral is "eukaryotic LSU rRNA". The stretch from base 508 to 1141 matches the Rfam family "Eukaryotic large subunit ribosomal RNA", at positions 1 to 649 of the family's 3401-position model. The record is from RNAcentral. Lineage: Eukaryota; Fungi.